GGGGGUGACCAGGAUCGACAAGUGAUCUUCUCCUAAAGGGAGCAUGCAGAGGUUGUCAGGAGGCCUCUUAAACGCCAUGCAGUUUGGCGUAAACACCUGGCAAAAACACAAAUGCUGAUAACAUCAGCUGGAACGAAAGGCAGGUAGCUGCCGGGCCCAUCUCGGCGCCUCUUGCGUUCGUUCCCCUCGCCGCUUAAUUGACGGCGACGUUACAGGGCCAACACCUGCUAGGCCCAUGUGACGUCAAUGCGCAGGUUGCUCUUCCGGUUUCGCCGUCGAACCGGAGGAUAAGACCCAGACGGAUCGUCCGGUAAAAUCCUGUCCGUGGGAGUUUGUCGGAUCAAACUAAAAUACGGAAUGAGCAUGGAGCGCCUUUUAGGAUAAGUCUCUUGGACGAGGGUGCGAUUCCCUCCACCUCCAUGC
This 423-nucleotide transfer-messenger RNA is filed under the name Candidatus Omnitrophota. RNAcentral's name for it is "JAMWDC01 sp023819025 Standard tmRNA". It matches the Rfam family "transfer-messenger RNA". Rfam says of the family: Bacterial tmRNA, also known as 10Sa RNA or SsrA, is named for its dual tRNA and mRNA-like properties. Its role is to liberate the mRNA from a stalled ribosome. To accomplish this part of the tmRNA is used as a reading frame that ends in a translation stop signal. The record is from RNAcentral. Lineage: Bacteria; Pseudomonadati. RNAcentral also lists the same sequence under 1 other name.